CCUACGGGGGGCAGCAGUGGGGAAUAUUGCACAAUGGGGGAAACCCUGAUGCAGCGACGCCGCGUGAGUGAAGAAGUAUUUCGGUAUGUAAAGCUCUAUCAGCAGGGAAGAAGAAAGACGGUACCGGACGAAGAAGCCCCGGCUAACUACGUGCCAGCAGCCGCGGUAAUACGGAGGGGGCAAGCGUUAUCCGGAGUUACUGGGUGUACCGGGAGCGGAGACGGCUGGGCAAGGCGGAAGGGCAAGCCCAGGUCUCAACCCUGGGGCUGCUUUGGAAACUGUGGAGCUAGAGUGCUGGGGAGGUCAGUGGACUUCCUCGUGUAGCGGUGAAAUGCGUCGAUAUUAGGAGGAACACCAGUGGCGCAGGCGGCUUACUGGACAGUACCUGACGUUGCGGCUCGACCGCGUGGGGAGCAAACAGGAUUAGAUACCCUUGUAGUC
This 441-nucleotide ribosomal RNA is filed under the name uncultured bacterium. RNAcentral's name for it is "partial 16S ribosomal RNA". It matches the Rfam family "Bacterial small subunit ribosomal RNA", at positions 338 to 795 of the family's 1533-position model. The record is from RNAcentral.